CCGCAGCCUAAGCGGCCCGAAAGGGGAAUUAGGACAGGGAUCAGUCGUUGAGUGCCCUGAUUCGGAACUAACCUCGACAGCU
This 82-nucleotide non-coding RNA is filed under the name Pseudomonas amygdali pv. aesculi str. NCPPB 3681. RNAcentral describes it as "Pseudomonas syringae pv. aesculi str. NCPPB3681 Proteo-phage-1 RNA". It matches the Rfam family "Proteo-phage-1 RNA". Lineage: Bacteria; Pseudomonadati; Pseudomonadota; Gammaproteobacteria; Pseudomonadales; Pseudomonadaceae. The record is from Rfam by way of RNAcentral.